This 197-nucleotide ribosomal RNA is filed under the name uncultured bacterium. RNAcentral describes it as "partial 16S ribosomal RNA". It matches the Rfam family "Bacterial small subunit ribosomal RNA", at positions 328 to 539 of the family's 1533-position model. The record is from RNAcentral.
ACGCUCGACACCUACGGGAGGCAGCAGUGGGGAAUAUUGCACAAUGGGGGAAACCCUGAUGCAGCGACGCCGCGUGAGCGAAGAAGUAUUUCGGUAUGUAAGCUCUAUCAGCAGGGAANAAACUGACGGUACCUGACUAAGAAGCACCGGCUAAAUACGUGCUAGCAGCCGCGGUAAUCUGAGCGGGCUGGCAAGGC